Molecule: non-coding RNA, 658 nt
Filed under: Pongo abelii (Sumatran orangutan)
Lineage: Eukaryota; Metazoa; Chordata; Mammalia; Primates; Hominidae
Source: RNAcentral
GCCUCCUGUUUUUCUAUCUAAUAAAGUAAAUCCUGAAGUUAGUGUGAAUCCUGUUUGACAAAGAAUAUCGCGCAGUCAGCAUUUCAGAGUGGCACGAAAGAGCCUGUGUCGUCAAACCACUUUGCCAGAGCUGCCUUCUCCCCACCCUGUUCAUUUGCCUGCCAAAGACUGUCAUGGUUUCUGGAAGAAAAGACUCAAGAUGUUUUCAGUAGCUGCCGUUUUCAGACAUCAUGAAAGUUUUCUCCUACCCUCUAUAAAAACAAACAAACAAUAAAACUCUACAAAGGAAAAGCGCAAAAAACAUGCUGACUUUAGAAGAAUCCAUGAUUUAGAAUAUUUUUAUAAAUAUCUAAGAAAACAGGAGUCCUUUCCAUAUAUAUGGUCCUUGGAGAUACUUUCCAUAUAUAUGGUCCUUGGAGAAUCCAGUUUUUAUGAGAAAGGUGAUUUCCAAAAUCUCUUACACUUUACAAUUUCAAUUUUGGCCUGAGCAUAUCUCUCGAUUGAUCUACCUACCUACAUACUGAUCUAUCUUGGAUAGAGCACUGGACAAAAGGUAGGCACGUUUACAAUCCACUGACAAGAAAACACAUGAAGAAGCAAAUCCCACAGCGCUCUGAAACCUGGAAGACAUGGGUUCUACAUGGGUCUGAUGGGAUUA